CUGGCAGUGGGGAAGGAUCUCUUCUGGAGAUCCCUCCUUUGGAGUUUUACAGCAAGCCCAGGACAAGGGUCCUCGAUGAAGAGAUUUGACCAAGUAAGGAGUUCUGUCUGUCAGACAAAGACUUGCCAACAUUUGUGGUGAAAUAAUCUGCUCUGUUUGGAGACUGCAGGAAAAAUCCUUUCUGUACAGCUGAGCAACCUGUAGGAGCUGCAUAGAACAUACAGCUGGUUCCAGUAGCACAGCCAGCUGACUGCUGAGAGCUUCUUGUGGAGGGAUGCUGUGCCUGCGGCCUGCAGAGAAUUUCGCCCUUCAAAACAUUGCACAGUUGACCUGCAGAACGAGAUCACCGUGGCUGUUAGCAGUUGCAGUGCUUCUUUAUGCCUGGUGACCUCUGUUUCCACGUGCCCAGCUCCCAGAAGUGCCCAUCCAGUGAAGCACCGAGUGCUUAGGGCUCAGCAGCCGUUCCAUGGUGACCUGAAGCUCCUUCUGACAAAGCUGAAGUCACAAGAUGAUGGUGGCACUGGAUAUUCCUUGCAGCUCUUGCCUUUGCUAACACUUCUUAAAGUAACAAGAUACUGCUUACUUAAAAAAAAAAAAAUAAUUAAAGGCAUCAUUUGUGCUGUAAAUACUCCUCUAAAAUAAUAGGAUAAAAUAUAAAAGUAGUAUCACUCAGCUGUACUUAUUUUCUAUGUUCAAAAUCUGACAGAGGUGUGUAUGAAGCAAAUGCAAGGAUAGGAGAGCAUUAUACUUUCAGGUUUUCUAUUUAAUUUGUCCUGGAAAUGACUUUUGCCAUUCUACACAGAUGAAUGUCAAAGCAGAUAUCUUAACAAAAUCAAUACUGAUAUAAUUUUGAAUUUGUUUGACUUCCUCUUCUUCCACAAACACAACAGGAAAGUGAGUGGAACUCUUCAGUCUAAAGGAUGUGUGAGCUGGACUCCGACAUAUGAUGUUUAAGUUAGAUGCCACUUUAUACCAGGACAGUUUGCAUUUAUUUGUUACCUUCCAUUGAGAGAAAGCAUUGUGUCUAAACAAAAUGAUCAUUAUGCUU
Long non-coding RNA from Tympanuchus pallidicinctus (lesser prairie-chicken), 1048 nucleotides. RefSeq lists it as uncharacterized. The record is from RefSeq and is a predicted model, not a curated record. Lineage: Eukaryota; Metazoa; Chordata; Aves; Galliformes; Phasianidae. The transcript is spliced from 5 exons.